AGUGAAGAAGGUUUUCGGAUCGUAAAACUCUGUUGUUAGAGAAGAACAAGGACGUUAGUAACUGAACGUCCCCUGACGGUAUCUAACCAGAAAGCCACGGCUAACUACGUGCCAGCAGCCGCGGUAAUACGUAGGUGGCAAGCGUUGUCCGGAUUUAUUGGGCGUAAAGCGAGCGCAKGCGGUUUCUUAAGUCUGAUGUGAAAGCCCCCGGCUCAACCGGGGAGGGUCAUUGGAAACUGGGAGACUUGAGUGCAAAGAGGAGAGUGGAAUUCCAUGUGUAGCGGUGAAAUGCGUASAUAUAUGGAGGAACACCAGUGGCGACGGCGGC
This 328-nucleotide ribosomal RNA is filed under the name Enterococcus faecalis. RNAcentral's name for it is "bacterial SSU rRNA". It matches the Rfam family "Bacterial small subunit ribosomal RNA", at positions 404 to 725 of the family's 1533-position model. Lineage: Bacteria; Bacillati; Bacillota; Bacilli; Lactobacillales; Enterococcaceae. The record is from RNAcentral.